Molecule: ribosomal RNA, 496 nt
Filed under: uncultured bacterium
Lineage: Bacteria
Description: bacterial SSU rRNA
Rfam family: Bacterial small subunit ribosomal RNA
Source: RNAcentral
GAUGAACGCUAGCUACAGGCUUAACACAUGCAAGUCGAGGGGCAGCAUGAACAUAGCUUGCUAUGUUUGAUGGCGACCGGCGCACGGGUGCGUAACACGUAUCCAAUCUACCCGUUACUCUCGGAUAGCCUUCCGAAAGGGAGAUUAAUACGAGAUGGUGUUGAAAUUCCGCAUGUUAUUUCAACUAAAGAUUCAUCGGUAACGGAUGGGGAUGCGUGACAUUAGGUAGAUGGCGGGGUAACGGCCCACCAUGCCCACGAUGUCUAGGGGUUCUGAGAGGAAGGUCCCCCANACUGGAACUGAGACACGGUCCAGACUCCUACGGGAGGCAGCAGUGAGGAAUAUUGGUCAAUGGCCGGAAGGCUGAACCAGCCAAGUAGCGUGAAGGAUGAAGGUUCUAUGGAUUGUAAACUUCUUUAUACGGGAAUAAAACCGCCUACGUGUAGGUGCUUGUAUGUACCGUAUGAAUAAGCAUCGGCUAACUCCGUGCCAGCAG